ACACAUCCAUUAGAAAUUCCAGAACUUUCCCGAAACAUUUUAAGAUUUGAUUAGAUCACUAUUUAACCCCAUCAGUUUCGCAGCAGCAUCUUCUGUGACAAAACCUGCCAACUAUAUAUAAUGGCUUUAAACCGCUUUCCCGAAGAAGAAAGAAGAAAUCCAAAGUCUCAAACUUUGCCAGCUCUCUCUCUCUACCCCCCUAUCUCCUCCCUCUCUCUCUCUCUCUCCCCCCCCUCUUUCUCUCUUCCUUCCACUUUCAUAACUGAUUCUUGCCCUGAUUCAGCUCAAAUCUUCCUUUCCCUGAUCAGAAAUCUCGAAAAGUGUCCGCCUUUGAGCUCCUCCUACUCGGAAGCAGGAAUUUCAUGACAACUGCAGCUCUGCCUUUUUUCUUGCAUUUCAACAGCAACCCAUUGAAGGAAGAGUACCCGGGAUCGAGUUCGUCGCAACCAGGUCCGGGUUUCGACCAGAUGGUGAUGACGAUCCCGCCGCCGCAGCCGAUGGAGGGCCUGAACGACAUGGGCCCUCCGCCGUUUCUGAACAAGACGUACGACAUGGUGGACGACUCGGGGUCGAACGGGGUCGUCUCGUGGAGCAGAGGAGGGGCUAGCUUUGUUGUUUGGGACCCACAUACUUUUGUGAUGAGCCUCCUACCCAAGUACUUCAAGCACAAUAAUUUCUCAAGCUUUGUGAGGCAGCUCAACACUUACGGUUUUAGAAAGGUUGAUCCUAACAGAUGGGAGUUUGCCAAUGAAGGAUUUGUAAGGGGUCAGAAGCAUCUUUUGAAGAACAUUAAAAGAAGGAAAGCACCUUCUCAGCCUUUUCCGGCACAGCAAGCUGUUGGACCUUGCAUGGAAUUAGGCCACUUUGGGAUAGAUGGAGAAGUUGAUCGUUUGCGGCAUGACAAGCAGGUUCUAAUGAUGGAACUAGUGAAGCUUAGGCAGCAGCAGCAGAGUACUAGAGCCUACCUUCAGGCCAUGGAGCAAAGGUUACAGGGGACAGAACUAAAGCAGCAGCAGAUGAUGUCUUUCUUGGCAAGGGCAAUGCAGAACCCGGCUUUUAUACAGCAGCUAGUCCAACAGAAGGAGAAAAAAAAGGAGCUUGAAGAGGCAAUGACUAAGAAAAGGAGGAGGCCAAUUGAUCAAGGACUUAGUGGUGUUGGUGGUGGCGAAUCAAACCAGGUUAAGAGGGAGCCUCCUGAAUUUGGAGAUUGUGAGUAUGAAAUGUCGGAGCUUGAAGCACUUGCGAUGGAAAUGCAAGGAUUAGGUAAGGUGGGAAAGGAACAGGAGGAAGUGGUAGAGCCACUAGAUAGCGGGGAUAAAGAGCUUGAUGAAGGAUUUUGGGAAGAACUAUUGAGUGAGAGGUUUGAGGGAGACUCAACCAUUCCGAGUGCUGACAUAGGCGAAGAUGAAGAUGUUAUUAUCUUGGCUGAUCGCUUAGGUUACUUUGGUUCAUGGCCAAAGUAGACUAGCUAGCUGCACUUCUUUUGCAUUGCUCUCUCUCUCUCUCUCUCUCUCUCUCUCUCUCCUCCCCUCUUCAGUUUUCACUGCCUCAUUGACCAUUACUUUCAAAACAAGGCUAAAACCUUCAACAGUUGUUUUCAUAGUCUCGCAUUUUGUCUCUUGGGUCUCUCUUCAUGUGCCAUUAGGCCAUAACUUUCUUCUGAAUUUCUUGGUAUUGACAGGAUAGGGGGACUAGCAGCGGUUAUUUGUGGAAAAGAAACCAUCUUUGUUUCUGGUGUUUCUAACCCAGCACAUGAUAAUUGAUUGCCUCCUUUUCAUCUUCUAAUAAUUUCCUCUCUUCUUUCUUUAUCCUGGUUUAGGUUGCAGGCAUUGGUCGGACAGAAUUCGGUAACUAUGAUCGUUAUUUAUCGCAAGGUAGAUUGUUGAGAAACUGUUGAACUUGAAAAGGAGUUGCUGCAAAAGCUCCAAGAAACCCUAACACAUGUUGUUUUUGGGUCCAAGUGACUGCAUUGGUAGUUUGUCAGUAUGAUAUUUUCUGUUACUGAAAUGUUGUUUUAAUUAGUUAGAUGUAAAGAGAGCUAGGUAGCAAUGAACUUCAUAAUGUUACGUUUGUACCGUGUAGAUUGUAGAUUGGUUCAUGUCGGAUACGGUUCUCUUCUCAGUCACUUCAUCAGCUGUGGACUCUCAAAAACUGGUACAUUAUGCUCUUUAAAACAUCACCUUUAAAAUGUGUUCCUUACCCCAUUGGUGUCUUACAGAUGAAGACAGGAUACAAGUACGAAAGUACUUCUACGAAAAGCACGAAUUUGAUCAGUUUGUAAGACUAAUGCAACUUUGAUCUGAAAGAUUUUGUAAUGUAGAUGGCAGUGUCAUCUCAACAGUUCAAGUAUAUUCUUGUAACAUCCUGACUCUAACACAUAAAUACCAGACUAACAUUUUGACAGGGAAUCUGAAGUUUGGAUUGCUUAAGAAGGAUAGAAAGUUAAGUUCCAUAACUUGUACUUGAAAGUUUCUAUGGAACAAGAUGGGAAGUUUGAAGUUUCUAACUUCUCCUCUGUGUUCCUAUGUUAGUCCACUAGGCAUGUCUCGUGGACUGAUCACCCUUAAAGCACGAAAAUAAAAGCUUUUGCGCUCG
RNA transcript from Pyrus x bretschneideri (Chinese white pear), 2595 nucleotides. It is a transcript of the gene named heat stress transcription factor A-6b, with no coding region annotated. The record is from RefSeq and is a predicted model, not a curated record. Lineage: Eukaryota; Viridiplantae; Streptophyta; Magnoliopsida; Rosales; Rosaceae. The transcript has 4 exons.